RNAcentral lists this ribosomal RNA (626 nucleotides) under embryophyte environmental sample. RNAcentral's name for it is "eukaryotic LSU rRNA". The stretch from base 225 to 380 matches the Rfam family "5.8S ribosomal RNA". The record is from RNAcentral. Lineage: Eukaryota; Viridiplantae; Streptophyta.
ACCUGUGACACCACGCCGAGGUGUGGAGGAGGGGUGCGAGCCCCGAUGCGCCUUUUGGACGGGUGCACCCAACACGUGAAUCAGUUUGAAUACAUAUGGUUGGCUUGAGGUGUUCAAAAAAAAGAACCCACGGCGCCGAAGGCGUCAAGGAACACUGUGCCUAACCCGGGGAAGCGGCUGGCUUGCUAGCUGCCCCUCGUGUUGCAAAGAUAUUUAAUCCACACGACUCUCGGCAACGGAUAUCUCGGCUCUCGCAUCGAUGAAGAACGUAGCGAAAUGCGAUACCUGGUGUGAAUUGCAGAAUCCCGCGAACCAUCGAGUCUUUGAACGCAAGUUGCGCCCGAGGCCACUUGGCCGAGGGCACGCCUGCCUGGGAGUCACGCCAAACACGCUCCCAACACUCAUCGGGUUGUGGGAUGCGGCAUGUGGCCCCCCGUCUCGCAAGAGGCUGUGGGCCAAAGAUGUGGCUGCCGGCGUAUCGUGCCGGACACAGCGCGUGGUGGGCGAACUCGCUUUACUUACCGCAGUGCGUUCGGCCCGUAGCCGACGUGAUGGCCUUGGACCCUAUGAACGGGGCGCAUGACGCUCUGACCGCGACCCCAGGUCAGGCGGGACUACCCGCUGAA